UACGAAGGGGGCUAGCGUUGCUCGGAAUCACUGGGCGUAAAGGGCGCGUAGGCGGCCCGGUAAGUCCGCUGUAAAAGUCCAGGGCUCAACCCUGGAAAGCCGGUGGAUACUGUCGGGCUUGAGUGUGGCAGAGGGGGGUGGAAUUCCGCGUGUAGCAGUGAAAUGCGUAGAGAUGCGGAGGAACACCGAUGGCGAAGGCAGCCCCCUGGGCCAACACUGACGCUCAGGCACGAAAGCGUGGGGAGCAAACAGG
Molecule: ribosomal RNA, 253 nt
Filed under: uncultured bacterium
Lineage: Bacteria
Description: partial 16S ribosomal RNA
Rfam family: Bacterial small subunit ribosomal RNA
Source: RNAcentral